This 212-nucleotide ribosomal RNA is filed under the name uncultured bacterium. RNAcentral describes it as "partial 16S ribosomal RNA". It matches the Rfam family "Bacterial small subunit ribosomal RNA", at positions 1289 to 1500 of the family's 1533-position model. The record is from RNAcentral.
CAGUUCGGAUUGUAGGCUGCAACUCGCCUACAUGAAGUCGGAGUUGCUAGUAAUCGCGGAUCAGAAUGCCGCGGUGAAUACGUUCCCGGGCCUUGUACACACCGCCCGUCACACCAUGGGAGCCGGUAAUACCCGAAGUCAGUAGUCUAACCGCAAGGGGGACGCUGCCGAAGGUAGGAUUGGCGACUGGGGUGAAGUCGUAACAAGGUAGC